UGCAAGUCGAGCGGGCGUAGCAAUACGUCAGCGGCAGACGGGUGAGUAACGCGUGGGAACGUACCUUUUGGUUCGGAACAACACAGGGAAACUUGUGCUAAUACCGGAUAAGCCCUUACGGGGAAAGAUUUAUCGCCGAAAGAUCGGCCCGCGUCUGAUUAGCUAGUUGGUGAGGUAAUGGCUCACCAAGGCGACGAUCAGUAGCUGGUCUGAGAGGAUGAUCAGCCACAUUGGGACUGAGACACGGCCCAAACUCCUACGGGAGGCAGCAGUGGGGAAUAUUGGACAAUGGGGGCAACCCUGAUCCAGCCAUGCCGCGUGAGUGAUGAAGGCCCUAGGGUUGUAAAGCUCUUUUGUGCGGGAAGAUAAUGACGGUACCGCAAGAAUAAGCCCCGGCUAACUUCGUGCCAGCAGCCGCGGUAAUACGAAGGGGGCUAGCGUUGCUCGGAAUCACUGGGCGUAAAGGGUGCGUAGGCGGGUCUUUAAGUCAGGGGUGAAAUCCUGGAGCUCAACUCCAGAACUGCCUUUGAUACUGAAGAUCUUGAGUUCGGGAGAGGUGAGUGGAACUGCGAGUGUAGAGGUGAAAUUCGUAGAUAUUCGCAAGAACACCAGUGGCGAAGGCGGCUCACUG
RNAcentral lists this ribosomal RNA (631 nucleotides) under Bradyrhizobium japonicum. Its description in RNAcentral is "bacterial SSU rRNA". It matches the Rfam family "Bacterial small subunit ribosomal RNA", at positions 56 to 731 of the family's 1533-position model. Lineage: Bacteria; Pseudomonadati; Pseudomonadota; Alphaproteobacteria; Hyphomicrobiales; Nitrobacteraceae. The record is from RNAcentral.